GUAGGGCUGAAACGAUUAGUCGACAAUAUCGACAAAAGAAAUGUUGACAAAUAUUUUUGUUGUCGAGUAGUCGUUUUAUUUAUUUUGACCUAAUUUAGAGCCUGCAGUAAUGCGGUUUGACCAGUGUGGCGCUGUAGCGCAAGACUGUAAUUCAGCUCUCCUCGAUGCAAUUCAAGAGAAGAAGAGAAACAGCACUCAGCGCUGCUUCAGAGAAACGCACCCAAGCCGAACAGAAUGGCGUUUAGAUAUGGAAAUAAAUGACACGCGCUUUCCUCUCAAUAACGAAAUAACAACAACAACAAAACUCCCAGCAGUGUGAAAGUAGCAGUUAAAAAUGCAUCUUAUUACACCGAUGUGGAUGUUUGCACGAGCUCAGUAAAGCAUUCACGUCACGUCUAUAGUAUUUAAAUCAAGAAGCUUUACGUCUGGUUCACAGAUGGCCAAGAUAGGUGAACAGCUCAAGAGGGACCUCAAACGGCAACCUACAAGACAACUCAGUUCUACUCCUGCUAGAUAUGAGUCUGAUUCUGAUGACACAUGUUGUGAUAUUUUUGAUCCUCCCAAAAAACGAAAAAUGGUGAUUAACACCAGUGAGGAGGAGGAGGACACCAUCCCUCAGGCGGAGUCUCAGCGGCCAGGGACAGUGCCUGCAGUUUUUGUUGAACUGGAUGAGGACAGUUU
Cyprinus carpio (common carp) is the source of this 681-nucleotide long non-coding RNA. RefSeq lists it as uncharacterized. The transcript is spliced from 3 exons. The record is from RefSeq and is a predicted model, not a curated record. NCBI's taxonomy places the organism in Eukaryota, Metazoa, Chordata, Actinopteri, Cypriniformes, Cyprinidae.